AGACGCUGCCCGCUCCUCCCUUUUACCGGGUGGCGGAGGGGUGAGUUCCGCAAAGCUUGCCCUGGUACAAGCGAGCUGGCGACCGCGGGUGGUGUUGGUGGGCUUUUAGCAUCUGAUCCUAAGCUCCUUGUGUUCAGAGAGACUCUCUUGCCAUACUCUUCAGUCAUUUCCUACUGGAAUGAACAGAGAAACGGAUACCCCAGAGGGUGAUGGUAUUUGGAGGGGCAUUGUGACCUGACCUACCUGGAUGGCUGCAAGAAUAAAGGAUUCUGACACCAAGAAGUUUGCAACAACUAACCAGGUCCCUUGCUCACCUUGCCUUUAAAAGCGCUUUGCUGAAAUGCUUCAAGGAGUUUGGGACUUUGGGGAUAUAAGCCACCUGUUCUCCUUCCAUGGCCCUGCAAUAAACCUUUCUUUGCUCCAAACUCCAAAGUUUUGUUUCGGCCUCAGUGUGCAUCAGGCACAUAAACUUGCAUUUGCUACCAUGGGGACACAUUCACAGAUUCAAGAGAAAAGGGGAGUAGAAGGUAGUUUUUCAAAAGUAAGAAUGACAUGUUGAUGGCAUCAUCUAUGGCUAUACUAUAUUUACAAGCUCUCUUUGUGAAGCAGGCUUACUAUUCAAAGCUAAAUUCAUACUUGUCUGAUAUGCUUAUAAGUGUGUACCAGGUUUAAUUAUUCAUGAAGUCAAUUAAUGGUUUAUCUUUAAUAUAUAAUGUCAUUUUUAAGGAAAUCUCAUUUGUUUUAUAAGUUCAAAUGAAAUAAUUUACAAAAAACUGCCGGUUUAGUAAGGUGUUCCCUCACUAGUACCCUUGGCAUUAAAAAGUAGUUGUCAGGUUGGCUUGCAGUUUGUCUGAAUGUGAAAGUAUAAAAAUGUGCACAUAACAAGCAGUGUAGAAUAUCUGAAACUUUUCAAGGGAUGUACUUUGAUGUAGAACUGUUCAAUAUUACCAAAAACACUGUGGAAAAAAUACUAUCUAGUACAUUCAGCUCAUGGCAUGAAACUUUCCAUGGAAGACCCUUGUUUGGGUCAUUUGCAGAUUUUCACUGUAAUGAUUCAUCACUUCAUCAGCAUAUUAAAAGAAAUUUCC
RNAcentral lists this long non-coding RNA (1088 nucleotides) under Sus scrofa (pig). RNAcentral's name for it is "lncRNA (ENSSSCG00015063951.1)". The record is from RNAcentral. Lineage: Eukaryota; Metazoa; Chordata; Mammalia; Artiodactyla; Suidae.